Long non-coding RNA from Topomyia yanbarensis, 1233 nucleotides. RefSeq lists it as uncharacterized. NCBI's taxonomy places the organism in Eukaryota, Metazoa, Arthropoda, Insecta, Diptera, Culicidae. The record is from RefSeq and is a predicted model, not a curated record. The transcript is spliced from 3 exons.
UUUAGUGACUGGGUAAACGUGUAGAACGACACAUGCCACUAAAGACCUUUUGAAUAAGUACUCUAGAAAGUAAUAUUAAAAUUUGUGAAAGAUCCCGUAGUAACAGUUAUAAAUAUGGUACUCAUACAUAAGCUUCAGCAUUCAACGUUUGGCCUGCGUUAGGGACAUAUGCGACUAUACCUGAUUUACUGUAACAACAACUUGCUCAAGCGUCGGAUUAUUUUAGGUGUAAACUGGUGUAAAUUCGUGACAUCCUCCAGAUAAGCGACACAAACGUAGGAUAUCAGGAUAGCAAAUGGAACGAUGGUGUAUGUUUUUCACGUAGCAGUAUUUCCUUUUCCUUAUGAUUGCUGGGAAAAGCGAGGUAACAGGUUUCUUGCUACUGGUGAUAGUUUUCCUACAAUAGGACACAGUUUCAGAGUAGGAUUCGAGACAGUCAGCCAAAUUGUACAAGAAGUGUGCCAACGUCUCAAAUUUGGAAACAAUCUGCUAAAGGGUUUGAAGAAAACUGGCAUUUCCCGAACUGCAUUGGUAGUAUAGACGGAAAGCACGUUUCCAUCAAGUGUCCGAACAAGACUGGAUCGAAGCACUUCUGUUACUUACAUAAAUUUUCGGUAGUACUAAUGGCUAUCGUUGGACCCGAUUAUCGGUUUAUAUGUGUCGAUAUCGGUGGUUAUGGGAAAAAUAGCGAUGGUGGUAUUUUUGAAAUGUCGAAUAUGGGCCAAAGAUUUGAAGCAGGAAUGAUGAAUGUACCAAAGGCCAAACCCUUGCCUGGACAAAUCGAACCGUGCAAUUACGUCCUAAUAGGUGACGAGGCGUUCGUUUUAAAGCCAUAUCUGAUGAGGCCUUUUCCUUAUAGACAGUCGCGUUUGAACCCCCAGAAAGAGAAUUAUAACACCAAACAUGCUAUAGCUCGAAGAGUUGUAGAAAAUGCUUUUGGCAUAUUAGCCCAAAAAUGGCGAAUUUUUUUCAGACCAAUACCUACAAAGGUUGAAACCGUCAUCCUCAUUGUGCACACAGCAUGCGUGCUUCACAAUUUUUUGCGUUUAAAUCAAUGCACUGACAUGCCAGAGAUACCUAUACAAUCCAAUGAGGGAUCUCCGUUUUACAAUUUAGCAACGGAUUCGCGACGAGCAACUAACUUAUCGUUUGAAACGAGAGAAAAAUUCGUGAAAUUCUUUUUGGAUAAAUAAUUAACGUGUAUGUGAAAUGGAAUAUCAUAUUUAUGAAUUA